UACAGAGGUCUCAAGCGUUGUUCGGAUUCAUUGGGCGUAAAGGGUGCGUAGGCGGCGCGGUAAGUCGGGUGUGAAAUCUCGGAGCUUAACUCCGAAACUGCAUUCGAUACUGCCGUGCUUGAGGACUGGAGAGGAGACUGGAAUUUACGGUGUAGCAGUGAAAUGCGUAGAGAUCGUAAGGAAGACCAGUGGCGAAGGCGAAUCCCUGGAAAAUACCUGACACUGAGGCACGAAAGCUAGGGGAGCAAACAGG
RNAcentral lists this ribosomal RNA (253 nucleotides) under uncultured bacterium. Its description in RNAcentral is "partial 16S ribosomal RNA". It matches the Rfam family "Bacterial small subunit ribosomal RNA", at positions 524 to 776 of the family's 1533-position model. The record is from RNAcentral.